UGCGGCACAAUGUGGAUAAAUUUCUUGCUGAAGGAAAACACGCUGUGGCUGGGAUUUGAACCCGCGUCCCUGUCAUUGAAAGACGAGAUUCGUAACCACUAGACCACAACGCCCCCACUUAUAACUUUAUUUCUUUCAAAAAUCUACUUGUACAUGAAUAAUGAUAUGAAUUCUAUAUGCCUUCAAAUGUUGCAUGAUGUACUAUUUUGGGCCCUGCAACAGAAAUUUGUCAGCAUUCUCAUGUUGAGGUUCUUAUUGAAAGCUUGUCUGAGAUUUAUCAAAUGUAGCAAAUAUUCAUGAGUAUAACUUGACCUCAGAAAUGUUUAUAUAUUCUUUAAACUUCAAGACUGUCAAAUUAAAAAAAAAUUGUUUAAAUGGAAUGUUAUAACAGAUGGGAGAUGCCCGCAUUGUUACGUGGACGAAGAUAAUGUACAUGCUUUUGUUGAGUGUAAACUGAAUAAGAGAUUCUUUUCUUAUUUGACAACAAUAGCGAAGUUGGAAUACAAUGUUGACCUUCAAAUAACAGAAAUGCAUUUCAUAAAGCCCACAAAGAAACCGGACUAGAUUCAUUUCUUAAAAUUGCUUUUUGGUGCAUCUACAAAUGUAUACUUAUAAGAAACAAAACAGGAAAAGAUUGUCAUGAAUUUAAUUUGGAAUAUUUGUUUGAAAAAGAAAUAUGUAAACAUGUGAUGUGACUUUGAAUGUUCAAUUAUGUAUAUAAUAAAUGCCCAUGAGGGUUUAAAAAAAAAAUGAAAACCCAUAUUUUUUUAUUGGAAAUAGACAUGAAAUAAAAUACCCAGAAAAUGUACAUGCAGCUCCAGAUUGAUGAGGCUCUAUCUCUUUAAUCGUUGAACGCCAAACAGGGUAGCUGCAACUCACAUCUUUUUACGUCUUUUGGUCUGACAUUGCCGGGGUUUGAACUCCCGACCUCCCGGUUGUAAGACGGACGCUCUGCCAACUGAGCCAACACAUCAGUGAUACCUUGAAGUUUUGUCUGAGGCUUACCCAUUGUAGCAGCAGUUAAUGAAUACAAUCUUGACUCCUAGAUUUGUCAUUUGUUCUUUGCUAUAGGAGUACCUUGUCAGUAGUUGUUGAGGUCCCAGAGAGAGAAUCUUCUCGUUUCUCAGCAAUGCUGGAUAUUGCCCAUGAGAUGCCAUAGCAACACUAUAGAGAAGGUGAACAAAGGGUUCGGACAGUAACAUCUUUGAUCCUGCAAUUGGCAACGGGGCGACAUUGUUCUGGCCGAGCAUGCUGGGAUCCGAGGAAUGUCCCAGGGAACAUCGCUCUUUGAAAGUCUGAGGAAUUAACCUUUUGCAAGCCUGAGAGACACGGACAAUGGCGACAAGAAUUGCCGCUUUGUGCUGGAUGCAGAGCGCGUGCCCAUCCCCUGUGAUCCGUGAGGCUCGAGACUAAAGGAAUUUGCCAGGCUUCAUAUCGGCAGAUGAAAGUCAAUUGCAAAGCCUCUUGUAGCUCUGAACAGAAGACGUGAUCCGAACAAACUUGCAAAUGCUGUGCUGAAUCUUAUGGUGAGGUCUCUGCUGCCAGUAGGACCUCCACUUGUCCUGCAUGGAUGGUAAUACUUGUUGCAGCCACUCGUUGUCCUCUCCCAAAUAUUAUGCUAAAUGUUGUUGCAAGAUAUUGACCAGUAGAACCUCCUUUUCAGCCGUGUUCAUUGGUACAUUUUUGCAGCAACUAGUGGCAAUCGUCACAAGAAUGUAGAUUGACUGAGGGUAUAUCAACAAAAAGCCAGAGACCCGCCAUUCCUGCAGUGCAGUAUGCUACUUGCAACCAGUCGUUGUGGUAGUAGACUGACGAUUUCGAUCAGUUUCUUUUGUCCGCAUGAUUGUUUUGUUGCAGCAUGGCUUUCCGAUGAGCAUGCAGAUGCCGCAAACCGACUCCUCUCUUGUUCCUGAACACGACAAUCCCAACAAAUAAAGGCGAAAAGAUGACUGCAUGUCCUCUUUCCAGAUGCUGCUCCAUUGGAAUGCAUCCAGGCAUCCCCCUCCACCGUUCUACCGCUGACGACCCCACCCCCAUACCAGGGGCGCAAACUUGCCCCCUCUUUCAUAAUCAAGUCAUUAUCCACACUUCACCAGCCUCUUCUUAUCCUCCAUCAUCCGGGCUUAGCAGCAUCUGCCAAAUUUACAUAAGAUGAAAAUCAGAAGUGGUAGAAAAAAGGGGCUUUCAGGCAGAUCAGAGCAUAAUAGGCCCCUUGGACAAACAAAAUAUAUCUCUGAAAAGCAGGGGGUAUAGAGACCAUUGUUCUGGCUAUCUCGCUGGCACGUGCCUCCACCAGUCCGCCACUAUCAUUGUGCAAAUACUCAGCCAUUUGUGGACAAUGUCGAAGGCAGAUGAGCGCGUGCCGUGAUGUGAUCAUCGGAGUUCAUCGGAAUUACGGCUGGGGAAACGGGAGCGGACAUCCAUCACCUGCUAAUUUCAACAUUGCUCAACACUCUUGCGUGAUUGUGUAAAUUGCUUUUGUGGGAUGGUUUACACAAAAAGGGGGCCGUGUAAAGUUUGGAUCAAGAACAAGAGUUUUGAG
Lytechinus variegatus (green sea urchin) is the source of this 2542-nucleotide long non-coding RNA. RefSeq lists it as uncharacterized. NCBI's taxonomy places the organism in Eukaryota, Metazoa, Echinodermata, Echinoidea, Temnopleuroida, Toxopneustidae. The record is from RefSeq and is a predicted model, not a curated record. The transcript is spliced from 4 exons.